Sander lucioperca (pikeperch) is the source of this 1008-nucleotide long non-coding RNA. RefSeq lists it as uncharacterized. The transcript has 2 exons. The record is from RefSeq and is a predicted model, not a curated record. Lineage: Eukaryota; Metazoa; Chordata; Actinopteri; Perciformes; Percidae.
UGUGUCUCUCUCUGCUAGUUGUUGUUGCUCCAGUUCUCCCUUCAUUUCUGUUGGUUUAGUUUGGUUAUGUCGUUUCAGUUUAUUGUUCCGAGAGGUCUUUCGAGAAGUUAGCUGAUAGGGCAAGUGCUGACACGUGACAUGUUGUUGCGUGUUUGUGUGGCGCUGAUUAACCCGGGUAUUGCAGCUGUGUGGGGGAUGAUAUUCACUCAGGAGAUGUCUCAGAUGAUUCAUGUCUCCAGCAGACGUGGCUAUGACACGCUGAUGGCUGCAAACCAGACGUCUUCUACACAGAGAACACUACUGAAGACGCUGACGGACUGUUCUUGUUCUCCUACCAUACAAACUUUUGUACAUACACCUUUUGAAACCUAAAGUACAACAAUGAGGAAGAGCAGCGGUUGGUCCCGUGAGGACGUCGACGGAGCACGUGGGGCAGUGCACCACGGAGAGGCGGCGUGGCCACUGAAGCAAGCAGACCUCUUCAGACGCCAACGCAUGCAGCGUCUGGACCUCCUGUUCCUUGUUGUGUUUGGAAGGAACCUCAGAGCUGCAGAGUUCAGAUCAUCAGAGUCCACAUUCUGUAGAUCAAUAAAGUAUUUAGUAUCACAUAUCUCACACACUGGAACUACUUUUUUCAGAAGGCAGUGUAGAAUCUGUACUGGCUCGGGUUAAUGAUUUAAACCAAAGUUAAACAUAUAUUAUUAACUACUGUAAUACUUCACCUUGUUUCUUUCAGGAUGCAGUUCUUCUUUAGCAGCUAUGUGACAAAACAUACACCUGAUUAGUUAACUGACCAAAUACUUAGCAGUGGAUUUGUCUGUUAAAACGUAAUACAACUGAAUGUGCAACAAGUGAUACGUCUGUACCUUUCUGAAGUUUCCUGUUUUUAACAGACAGAACAAUGACAGCUAUCAUGAAGAAAACAGUCAGAACACCCAGGAUCACAAUCAUGACGUUUGUCAUUCCAUCAGACUCCUCUACAAGACAAAAGACAGAAUUAGAAUCUGU